CCUACGGGAGGCAGCAGUGGGGAAUAUUGCACAAUGGGGGAAACCCUGAUGCAGCGACGCCGCGUGAGUGAAGAAGUAAUUCGUUAUGUAAAGCUCUAUCAGCAGGGAAGAAAAUGACGGUACCUGAGUAAGAAGCCCUGGCUAACUACGUGCCAGCAGCCGCGGUAAUACGUAGGGGGCAAGCGUUAUCCGGAUUUACUGGGUGGAAAGGGAGCGUAGACGGCAGUGCAAGUCUGGAGUGAAAGGCGGGGGCUCAACCCCCGGACUGCUCUGGAAACUGUACGGCUGGAGUGCAGGAGAGGUGAGUGGAAUUCCUAGUGUAGCGGUGAAAUGCGUAGAUAUUAGGAGGAACACCAGUGGCGAAGGCGGCUUACUGGACUGUAACUGACGUUGAGGCUCGAAAGCGUGGGGAGCAAACAGGAUUAGAUACCCCUGUAGUC
This 440-nucleotide ribosomal RNA is filed under the name uncultured bacterium. RNAcentral's name for it is "partial 16S ribosomal RNA". It matches the Rfam family "Bacterial small subunit ribosomal RNA", at positions 338 to 795 of the family's 1533-position model. The record is from RNAcentral.